UACGUAGGUGGCAAGCGUUGUCCGGAUUUAUUGGGUUUAAAGGGUGCGUAGGCGGCCCUGUAAGUCAGUGGUGAAAUUCUUGAGCUUAACUGAAGGAUUGCCAUUGAUACUGUAGGGCUUGAGUACAGAUGAGGUAGGCGGAAUUGAUGGUGUAGCGGUGAAAUGCAUAGAUACCAUCAAGAACACCGAUUGCGAAGGCAGCUUACUAAGCUGUAACUGACGCUGAUGCACGAAAGCGUGGGGAUCGAACAGG
RNAcentral lists this ribosomal RNA (253 nucleotides) under uncultured bacterium. RNAcentral describes it as "partial 16S ribosomal RNA". It matches the Rfam family "Bacterial small subunit ribosomal RNA", at positions 524 to 776 of the family's 1533-position model. The record is from RNAcentral.